RNAcentral lists this small nuclear RNA (80 nucleotides) under Fukomys damarensis (Damara mole-rat). Its description in RNAcentral is "U4 spliceosomal RNA". It matches the Rfam family "U4 spliceosomal RNA", at positions 1 to 80 of the family's 138-position model. Rfam says of the family: U4 small nuclear RNA (U4 snRNA) is a component of the major U2-dependent spliceosome. The structure of U4 snRNA from yeast and human has been reported. Lineage: Eukaryota; Metazoa; Chordata; Mammalia; Rodentia; Bathyergidae. The record is from Rfam by way of RNAcentral.
GUCUUUGCGCAGUGGCAGUAUCGUAGCCAAAGAGGUUUAUCCAAGGCGCGAUUAUUGCUAAUUGAAAACUUUUCCCAGAG